RNAcentral lists this ribosomal RNA (424 nucleotides) under uncultured Emergencia sp. Its description in RNAcentral is "bacterial SSU rRNA". It matches the Rfam family "Bacterial small subunit ribosomal RNA", at positions 338 to 759 of the family's 1533-position model. The record is from RNAcentral. Lineage: Bacteria; Bacillati; Bacillota; Clostridia; Peptostreptococcales; Anaerovoracaceae.
CCUACGGGAGGCAGCAGUGAGGAAUAUUGGUCAAUGGACGAGAGUCUGAACCAGCCAAGUAGCGUGAAGGAUGACUGCCCUAUGGGUUGUAAACUUCUUUUAUACGGGAAUAAAGUGAGGCACGUGUGCCUUUUUGUAUGUACCGUAUGAAUAAGGAUCGGCUAACUCCGUGCCAGCAGCCGCGGUAAUACGGAGGAUCCGAGCGUUAUCCGGAUUUAUUGGGUUUAAAGGGUGCGUAGGUGGUGAUUUAAGUCAGCGGUGAAAGUUUGUGGCUCAACCAUAAAAUUGCCGUUGAAACUGGGUUACUUGAGUGUGUUUGAGGUAGGCGGAAUGCGUGGUGUAGCGGUGAAAUGCAUAGAUAUCACGCAGAACUCCGAUUGCGAAGGCAGCCUGCUAAGCUGCAACUGACAUUGAGGCUCGAAAG